RNAcentral lists this ribosomal RNA (293 nucleotides) under uncultured bacterium. Its description in RNAcentral is "partial 16S ribosomal RNA". It matches the Rfam family "Bacterial small subunit ribosomal RNA", at positions 505 to 796 of the family's 1533-position model. The record is from RNAcentral.
GUGCCAGCAGCCGCGGUAAUACGUAGGGGGCGAGCGUUGUCCGGAUUAAUUGGGCGUAAAGAGCUCGUAGGCGGCUCAGUAAGUCGGGUGUGAAAGCCCCGAGCUCAACUCGGGGAGGCCACCCGAUACUGCUGUGGCUAGAGUCCGGUAGGGGAGCGUGGAAUUCCCGGUGUAGCGGUGAAAUGCGCAGAUAUCGGGAGGAACACCAGCGGCGAAGGCGGCGCUCUGGGCCGGAACUGACGCUGAGGAGCGAAAGCGUGGGGAGCGAACAGGAUUAGAAACCCCCGUAGUCC